RNAcentral lists this long non-coding RNA (2747 nucleotides) under Lactuca sativa (garden lettuce). RNAcentral's name for it is "long non-coding RNA (LSAT_LNC007856)". Lineage: Eukaryota; Viridiplantae; Streptophyta; Magnoliopsida; Asterales; Asteraceae. The record is from RNAcentral.
UUGUCCUUGUGAUAUAUCUCAAAAGUUAUGGUUUUCAUCUAGAUAUUUCGUUUGUUGCACAAGAGGUAUAGUUUUGUUGCAAGGUUUGUCCCUGGUACUGAUGGUGUUGCAAAAUGCCAGUGAAGUCCAAGUGAAAUAUGACUAUUUUGCCCCUGUCUUAAACCCUAAUCAAACCAAUAGUGUAUCCUGUUCUUUGUAUAUGUGGGAUGUUCUGAGAACCUGGACUUGCAUUUAGCCCCAAUCACACUAGUGAAACUAAACCCAAAAGAUGUUGUAUCAUUUUCAAAACUUGUAACUUCAAAUCCUUUUGUUGAAUCAUAAUGUAGUAGUGUGUUUGGCUUUGCUCAACUUUUUGCAAAUUCUGUCUUGUUAUCAUAAUAACAGACCUAAACAUUUACCUCCAAUAACAUGAGUUUUUUUCUUUAUUCGAGUUUUUAAUCUUUCAUACUGAUGUAUGUAUUUGUGCCAUAUGAAUUGGUGCUUUUUAGGGAAGUGACAACCAAUCUCCCUUCUAUUUCUUUUCAUCCACCAAAACCAGAUGAUGUUGCUACAAGUGGACACCAAAGGUUUCUAUUUCUUAUUCACUAAUGUUUUUUUUUUUUUUUUUUCAAGUCUACGAAAGUUGAACCUUUUUUUUACCCAAACUAGAAAUUAUUCCUUUUCCUACAUUAGUGAAUAAGUCUUGAAAUUAAGUCCUAUCCAUCGGAUUUGUAAGUAAAUAAAUAUCAGUUGUUUCAUCAUUAUUUUCUACCCAUGUAGGUGACAAGGUUAUUGCUGAGGCAUUGAAACAAGCUAUACCCAUCUGUGUAAGUUUUUCACCUAAUUAUAUCAAAUAUAUAUUGUGAAGUUCAUAAUUUUAUCAUUUUAAAAUUAAUUAUUUAGCUUCUCUACCUAAUUUUGUACCAACAUGUGUGUAUGUUGUAAAGUUUUUAAAGUCCAUUGCUUCUCAUUCUUCCAUUUAAAUUACAUGGAUUUGAUUAUAAUGAAUGUGCAGGCUUUUUGGUUGUUUCUUCAAAGGACAAGGAUCCUUCCUAUCAAGUAAUAUGAUGGAUCCAAAGAUUCCAAAAAAAAAAAAAAAUUGUUUUUGUCCACAAAGAGCUUCUCACUCUAAAAAUAUCAAUUUCUUAUGAUUUAAAAGUAUCAAAUAUAUAUUGUGAAGUUCAUAAAGAGAAACACAUUUGCAAGAAUAUAAAACUUUUUUUUUUCAUAAAGUACAUUUGUUUUUCAAUCUUUUUCAUAAAGUAAAACCUGAAUGACUUGGAUUUUUUCAUAAAGUACAAUUUUCUGGAAAAAUAACAAUUCUAUAUAAGGUUUUGCUCAGAUUCUUCCAUGUUUUUCUAAAUUUUGGGUUUUAAUUUUUCCUGACUGAUGGGUUUGAUAUUUAUCAUAUCCAACUGAUUUUGGAAAAAAAACUUAUAUCAAUCAGGUUGUGUAUUGUUCCUGAUAUAAGGCAAAUAACCUUUUUUUUUUCUUUUUCUUUUUCUUUUUUAAUAAGUGCUGCACAGAUAUAGUGCUACCUGGAUAAUGACAUCUUAUAUUUUCUGGAUUUGUGUCUAUAUCUAUGAUUGACCUGAUAAAAAUUGCUUUCUUUUAGCAAAGAGUUGAAUCUAUUUGUUUUUUAAGUUGAAAAGUUCACUUAAUUUAAAAGUUAUUAAUGUCAAAUUCAUAAUUAAGUGACUUUGCAUGCUUUUCUUUUUACUCACUGAAAUUUAUGGAAUAUGGUUACAAAAAUGGAGAUUAUAAGUACUAACAGAUUCUCUUUACUUGUAUAGUGGAGGAGUUUUUUGCUACAGUUAAACAGCAUGUUCUUAUUGUCAGGUUGGUGGUUUAGGUCCUAAUGGGAGUCUUUUUUGCAAUUUUGGUCCUUAUUUCAUGGUUUCGUAACACUUUUGGUACCACGGUUGUCAACUAGAUGUUAAAUUUAUGAAAAUGACCAUUUUGUCCCUUUCAUCAUCAUCUCUUUCAUUUCCAUUUUCAAGGAGCAUGAUGAUAUUUCAACAAAGUUCUAUCUCUCCUUAAAAACAGAAUUAUCAUAUAUGUUGAAGGAGCAAAACUAAACCCUAAAUACCUACCUAAAAACAAAAUCUUUUUUAAAAUAUGGUACUCAUUUCUUGGUUUGAUAAUGUGUUUGGUCUCUGCGUCUCAACUUCAAACAGCCUAUAUGCUAAAUUUAUGAAAAAGACCAUUUUGCCAAUGUCUUUUUCAUCUCUUCCAUUUCCAUGUUUAAGGAGCAUAUUUUACCCUCAACAAAAUUCACCACUUCUCUUAAAAAAAUUAUUUGGCUUACGUUUAAGGAGCAUAACAACUUUAACAACACAGAUGUUAAAUAUUUGUACAUGACCAUUUUGCCCCCGUCUUCUUCUUCUCUUUCAUUUCUAUGUUCAAUCAAAUUAAAUAGACCCUAAACAAAAUUCAUCUCUUUCGUUUCCACAUUUAGAAGUUAUUGUUGUUUAUAACAACUCAUUUUUUGUUUCAGAGAUCAUCAGAAGAGGUGAUUGUUGUGAAUUACUUUCAGGACCCUCUUCUGACCAAGUUUUUCUUGGGAAAACAACUUUACAACUCUUUUGUGACAACCUUGUCACCAAGUUUUUUAUAUUUUGGUAAAAUUUAUGUAUUUACCCUUUUGGCUAAUUUUAACUAAAUCUGUUAAUGACAUGUAAUUCUAGGUUUGGGCAUUUUUAAUGGGAUCUUAUUCAUAAGAUUCAACAUACACAGAGAGGUGGUAUGUUAGAGUACAUGACUAUCAA